RNAcentral lists this ribosomal RNA (402 nucleotides) under uncultured bacterium. RNAcentral describes it as "bacterial SSU rRNA". It matches the Rfam family "Bacterial small subunit ribosomal RNA", at positions 32 to 417 of the family's 1533-position model. The record is from RNAcentral.
AAUCAACGCUGGCGGCGUGCCUAACACAUGCAAGUCGCGCGCGAAAGGGGGGCAACUCCCAAGUAGAGCGGCGAACGGGUGAGUAACACGUGGGUAAUCUACCUUCGAGUGGGGAACAACACCGGGAAACUGGUGCUAAUUCCGCAUAACAUCGUCGGGGCUUCGGUUCUGACGCUCAAAGCUGGGGAUCGCAAGACCUAGCGCUUGAAGAUGAGCCCGCGUCCGAUUAGCUAGUUGGCGGGGUAAUGGCCCACCAAGGCUUCGAUCGGUAGCCGGCCUGAGAGGGCGGACGGCCACACUGGAACUGAGACACGGUCCAGACUCCUACGGGAGGCAGCAGUGGGGAAUUUUUCGCAAUGGGGGCAACCCUGACGAAGCAACGCCGCGUGGGGAUGACGGCCU